RNA transcript from Myotis brandtii (Brandt's bat), 1597 nucleotides. It is a transcript of the gene named NIPA-like domain containing 2, with no coding region annotated. The transcript has 10 exons. The record is from RefSeq and is a predicted model, not a curated record. NCBI's taxonomy places the organism in Eukaryota, Metazoa, Chordata, Mammalia, Chiroptera, Vespertilionidae.
AUUUACAUUCUGAUUUACUUCUAGAAAUAUUCCCAUCUUCAGUUGGCACACCAAGAGCACCCAAGGCCAUUCUUCAGGAGCUUGCUGUGGUGGGGCGGGGCUCUCCUGAUGGCCCUCGGAGAGACAGGGAACUUCGCGGCCUACGGAUUUGCCCCCAUCACUCUCAUCGCUCCGUUAGGCUGUAUGUCUGUUACAGGUAGUGCCUUUAUUUCUGCUAUGUUUCUGAAAGAAAAUUUGCGAGCCUCCGAUGUACUAGGUAUGACAUUGGCAUUUGCAGGAUCGUAUUUGUUGGUGAACUUUGCUCCAAACAUAUCCCAGGCUAUCUCUGCGAGAACAGUACAGUAUUACUUUGUUGGCUGGCAGUUCCUGAUCUAUGUGAUUUUAGAAAUAUUAAUUUUCUGCAUUCUCCUAUAUUUCUAUAAAAGAAAAGGAAUGAAGCACAUUGUGAUUCUACUAACCCUGGUGGCACUUCUAGCCUCAUUGACUGUUAUUUCAGUGAAAGCUGUCUCAGGCAUGAUCACUUUUUCUGUGACGGAUAAAAUGCAGCUAACGUAUCCCAUCUUCUAUAUAAUGUUGAUCAUCAUGAUAGCAUCUUGUGUUUUCCAAGUCAAGUUCCUGAAUCAAGCCACGAAUCUCUACAGUACAGCGACGGUGGUGCCCAUUAACCAUAUUUUCUUUACAACCAGUGCCAUUAUUGCAGGCAUCGUAUUUUAUAAGGAAUUCCUUGGUGCAGCUUUUCUCGCCAUGUUUAUAUAUUUUUUUGGGUGUUUUCUGUCAUUCCUGGGUGUGUUGAUGGUCACAAGAAACCGAGAGAAGGAACAUCUGCCACAGUCUUACAUCGAUUUGGGGAAUAUUCCCGGGAAACAGACGUUGGAUAAAAUACAACCAGAUUCAAACGGUUUAUCCCGUGGAACUUUGCCUGAUGGAAGUGACUCAACAAAGAGCCAAAGUGGAGAGAAGAAAGAGGUCUGAAGUGCCGAGAGCGAUGGCUGUGGGCCUGUUACUCGAUCCCACCUUCUUAAAAAGCUGCACAUGUUCCAUUUGUGUCAGCAGCUAUUUAUCGCUGACAUGUGCUCGCGUGCGUUCCAGUUCUCUGCCCACCUCCAUCCCGUGGACACUCGGCCCCCCUGCGCUCUGACAGUCUAAUGUUCGCAUGGAAUGUAACUUGAAGUGCCCCCCACCCCCGGGGCUCUCCCUAGCGAGCCUCUGACCGCCUGGACCUUGAUGAGAGCCUGGCUGCCCGAGCAGAACUGCCACGCAGAAACGGGCCCGCGAUCUGGCCGCUGCUCCCAGCAUCCGGGAGUGCCGGCUGCUUUGCUUUAAAGAGACACUUUCCCCCGCAGCCUGACUCCUGGAACACAGGCCACAGUUCUUUUGUGUGUGUACCACCACCUCUAUUGGAAAAGUCUCCCCAACCUCACUCUCCAACUUGAUAACAGCGUCAGAAAUGACUGGUAGUUACCUGUCCUGUGGCAGAGUGAAGCAGAAGUCUUUACCACCUGGUUGUUUUCAGUCUAAAUGUCUGCCCUGUACUGCUUUCGCUACCUUGAAUCACUUGAAAAAAAAAACACACAAUAAAAAACUUCUCAGGCAAUGA